AUGAACGCUGGCGGCGUGCCUAAUACAUGCAAGUCGAACGCUGGAGAUCUAGCUUGCUAGAUCGAAGGAGUGGCGAACGGGUGAGUAAUACAUAAGCAACCUACCCACGAAGACUGGGAUAAUCUCUGGAAACGGGGACUAAUACCGGAUAGGUAAUCGGAAGGCAUCUUCUGGUUAUUAAAGGUUAAAAACACUGGUGGAUGGGCUUAUGGCGCAUUAGUUAGUUGGUGAGGUAACGGCCCACCAAGACGAUGAUGCGUAGCCGGCCUGAGAGGGUGAACGGCCACAUUGGGACUGAGACACGGCCCAGACUCCUACGGGAGGCAGCAGUAGGGAAUUUUCGGCAAUGGGGGCAACCCUGACCGAGCAACGCCGCGUGAGUGAAGACGGCCUUCGGGUUGUAAAGCUCUGUUGUAAGGGAAGAACGGUAGAUAGAGAAUAUCUAAGUGACGGUACCUUACCAGAAAGCCACGGCUAACUACGU
Molecule: ribosomal RNA, 484 nt
Filed under: uncultured bacterium
Lineage: Bacteria
Description: partial 16S ribosomal RNA
Rfam family: Bacterial small subunit ribosomal RNA
Source: RNAcentral